AGGUAAGAGAGACAGUCGUGACCCCUCUCCUUCUUUUCUGGUACACACGCUUCCAUAACUUAAGAGAGCCACCUCUAUUCUCAUAAAUUCCCCCAAUCUCAAAAUUUGGGUUCUCUGGUUACAAAAUCAUUACCAACAAUCAUCCUAAAAAUUCCGAUCAUCAAAUACAAUCGUUUUAAGAAGUUCUGAUGGAGAAACAAUCGAGGUCGAUGUGGCUAUUGUGUACUGUAAGAAGCAUGUGGAGACUUUGAAUGCCGAUGAGAAGGUCACUAAGAAGAUGCUUUAUGUGCGGUUCCACAGAAGGGAAGCGGAGCCAAUGUGUCCAGCAACGGCGGUGCAGCGAGCUAGGGCUUCUAUCACUUUUGUAAUUUUGGGUUUUGGUGAUCUUCUAUUCUGCUCGCAAGCAACCUGGAUUGAACAUCUACUCUGUUUCAUGACAUUUAGGGUUUGGAGUAUGCGAUUCAAAUGGAAGAUGCCUCCAGGUAAGUUCACACGAAAUUAGUCAUGUUGAUUGGCUCCGUUGGACUUCUGCUGCACAACUACCUUUGCUUGAAGAUGAAAUGCGGAGGGUUGAAAGAGUGAAUCAACACAUGAGUCUAGAUUGAAACUAUACGCCUACUGACAGGAUGCUUGGAGGGAUCAGUGGCUUGCCAACAAGAAAGCAAUUGCUGAUAGAAACGUCUACAUGCUCUUAAAAGAGAGCAAUCAUUUUUUCCAGCAAUUUUCUAUGAGAGAUAAGCUUGAGUCAUGUGUAGGGACCUGCAACAUCAAAGCAAGAUGUCAUGGUAUGUUUUAAUUAUAUGUCUGCGAUUUGAUUUCAAUCUCUCAUUUUGCUCUAUGUGAGUAUGUUUGUGUGUGUGCUCUACACAUUUGAUCAUGUGUAACAACUUGGAAACUUGAAGAGAUGAAUAGUGUGGGGAUUAGUGGGGUGGGACAACCUGAAGCACCUGAUGGGAAGUCGUGGUGUUGGUGGUUAUGCUCAACCUGUUAAUCGACCGGGUUCCUAUAUAGAUUCUUUAGGGUUUGCACCUGACUUGGACCACCAAUAUUCUGAGCAUAACUCAUCUGGUGGUUGGUUGGACGAGUGAUUAGGUCUGAUAAGGGGCGUCAUUGGGUACCCCUACCUGAUUUGGUUGGAAAUUUUGGUUCAAUAGUGUUGAAAAGGCUAGGCUAGAAAAAAAACUUUUUUAAGUUAGUCGACUAAAAUUUCAGAGCAAGUUAGAAAAAGCUAGGCUGGAAAAAGAAAUUUUUUAAGUUGGUUGACUAAAAUUUUCAGAGCAAGCUUUUUGGUCAACCUUUUAAAAGGUCAAUGACAGUCAACCAGUGAGGGUUAAGUGUGAUUACAUGCGUGAUAAAUUUAAGAGGGGUUGCUUAUUAUUUUGGGCGUGUUUAAUUGAGAUGGUUUGGUAUUUGGAGUGGUGGUGUGUAGGUACGCCCUGUAAACAUAUCGGAAAAGAAGAAUGGUGGAGCUUGGGUCAUGAGAUUUUUGGUAGUAAUUAGAAUCAUGUUAAUUGGGCCCAUGCUCUUUCAUAUGGUGCAGCAGUGGAUUGAGCCAAAUGGUUAUUUUAACGGAAAUGCAAUUCGGCUAUUUUUACGUCGGAUGCUUCAUGUUUUGGGUCAGAAGCCUAUUUUAGGCAAAAUAGGAAAAUGGAAAUAGGUUGUGAGAUUUAUAUGCUUUAACAAGAUAUGCUGAUGCUAAAGACCGAGCAAUUGGAGCAAAAAAAUUAUACUGAUACAUAAAACCUCCUAAAACGUUUCAUUCAUUAAGUUAUAUGAUUGAAAAAAAAAUUAUACUUUACGUAAUUGUAUUUGAUACACUAGCUAUAUAUAAAGAUUUCAACCCUUUUGGACAAAAAGUGUUGCAGGUCCACAUUACCAAGAGAAUUUGCCCAUUUUGAUUUGAACCCAUUACCUAAACCACCCAUUUUGAUUAUCCAAGGUACUCGCACAGACCAACUAGGGAAUGCACAACUGAGGCCAACAAAGUGUUUAAAGGUUGAUCGGUGGACUGUUGGGUCCAGAUGGAACAAACAGCUAUUUGGGAAAAUGGUGCAAAAGGGGUCAGAAUAAGGGUUCUAAGGCUUCUUCAAUAUCAACACAAUCAAAUGAGUCUAGGGGAUCAUUACUUUCUGCUAGAAGUAGCAAGCUUGGGGCUAAAACAAGUAGUUUGCAAUCCGAGGGGUGCUUGCGGAUCGGUCACUUUUUAAGUAAAGCAGGUCAAUAGUGGGGUCGCGAGGCACGAGACGGGACUCGAACCUGGUCUCCACCCGAGCCUAACCCUAUGCACGCCACAUACCACCACCCGACCGUCAGCGCUUUUGUGUGAACCACUAAUGCGUUACUAAUGACAAGAUCAGUUGUUUCUUGAUGCCUUGAUGAACCACUAAUGCGUGUGUUACCAUUCACAAAGCUAGCGAGUUGGAAACAAGGUUGACCACUUCAUCAAAGUUGAACCAACUAGCCAUUUUUACAUGGUGAACUCGGUAACCCGGCGAUCAAAUGGCUGCGCUAUGGUCAACUCGGUAAUCCGGACGAUUAACAAGCACCUUUCCUCAAAGUCCACCAAGUUUUUUCAAACUUUGCUAUUCCUUAGUGUAACCGUAUUAACUUGUACAUCAUGUUUUAAAUGUGGUGUAUUUGUUUGAAUGACAAAUCUUUUGUUUUAUUGUAAGUUUUAUUAUUUUAGAAAUAUACCAAUACGGGUAUACGAC
Helianthus annuus (common sunflower) is the source of this 2711-nucleotide long non-coding RNA. RefSeq lists it as uncharacterized. The record is from RefSeq and is a predicted model, not a curated record. NCBI's taxonomy places the organism in Eukaryota, Viridiplantae, Streptophyta, Magnoliopsida, Asterales, Asteraceae. The transcript is spliced from 9 exons.